UGGGGAAUUUUGGACAAUGGGGGAAACCCUGAUCCAGCCAUCCCGCGUGUGCGAUGAAGGCCUUCGGGUUGUAAAGCACUUUUGGCAGGAAAGAAACGUCAUGGGUUAAUACCCCGUGAAACUGACGGUACCUGCAGAAUAAGCACCGGCUAACUACGUGCCAGCAGCCGCGGUAAUACGUAGGGUGCAAGCGUUAAUCGGAAUUACUGGGCGUAAAGCGUGCGCAGGCGGUUCGGAAAGAAAGAUGUGAAAUCCCAGAGCUCAACUUUGGAACUGCAUUUUUAACUACCGUGCUAGAGUGUGUCAGAGGGAGGUGGAAUUCCGCGUGUAGCAGUGAAAUGCGUAGAUAUGCGGAGGAACACCGAUGGCGAAGGCAGACUCCUGGGAUAACACUGACGCUCAUGCACGAAAGCGUGGGGAGCAAACAGG
This 429-nucleotide ribosomal RNA is filed under the name Acidobacteriota bacterium. RNAcentral describes it as "Acidobacteria bacterium partial 16S ribosomal RNA". It matches the Rfam family "Bacterial small subunit ribosomal RNA", at positions 355 to 776 of the family's 1533-position model. Lineage: Bacteria; Pseudomonadati; Acidobacteriota. The record is from RNAcentral.